AGAGGGGUGCAAGUGUUGUUCGGAAUCAUUGGGCGUAAAGGGCGUGUAGGCGGGUCAGGUAAGUCAGAUGUGAAAGCCCUGGGCUCAACCCAGGAAUUGCAUUUGAUACUGUUUGACUGGAGUGCGGUAGAGGAUAGUGGAAUUCCCGGUGUAGAGGUGAAAUUCGUAGAUAUCGGGAGGAACACCAGUGGCGAAAGCGGCUAUCUGGGCCGACACUGACGCUGAGACGCGAAAGCGUGGGGAGCAAACAGGAUUAGAUACCCUGGUAGUCCACGCUGUAAACGAUGGGUACUAGAUGUUGGGGGAUUUGACCCCCUCAGUAUCGUAGCUAACGCACUAAGUACCCCGCCUGGGAAGUACGGCCGCAAGGCUA
Molecule: ribosomal RNA, 373 nt
Filed under: uncultured organism
Description: partial 16S ribosomal RNA
Rfam family: Bacterial small subunit ribosomal RNA
Source: RNAcentral